This 274-nucleotide ribosomal RNA is filed under the name uncultured bacterium. RNAcentral's name for it is "partial 16S ribosomal RNA". It matches the Rfam family "Bacterial small subunit ribosomal RNA", at positions 523 to 796 of the family's 1533-position model. The record is from RNAcentral.
AGACGGAGGGGGCUAGCGUUAUUCGGAAUUACUGGGCGUAAAGGGCGCGUAGGCGGAUUAGUAAGUUGGGAGUGAAAGCCCGGGGCUUAACCUCGGAACUGCUUUCAAAACUGCUAGUCUUGAGUGAAGUAGGGGGUGAUGGAAUUCCUAGUGUAGAGGUGAAAUUCUUAGAUAUUAGGAGGAACACCGGUGGCGAAGGCGGUCACCUGGACUUCAACUGACGCUGAGGCGCGAAAGCGUGGGGAGCAAACAGCAUUAGAAACCCUAGUAGUCC